CCCUACCCAAGAAAAACGGCGCAGGAGCUCUUCUUCAUUUUGUUCUUCAUUUCUCCAAGCUCAACAAUCAGACCCUUACCCCUUAACGGCGCUCCAUCACCGCUACCUCCUCCUCCAUAUCCAGACCCCUCAUCUCCCAUAAUCAAAAGCACAAAAACACCAGCCUUUCUUCUUCAUAGGGAACCUUAGGACCUAGGAAGCUAAGAGUUUACCCCAUUUCUUUUGACAAAGAGCAGCGAUGCUCAAAAGAAAAAGAAAAAUAUAAAAAAAUCAGCCUCUCUAACUCAUCCUCUCACUCUCAACGCGCCUAAAUACAGCUGUUGAAACUUAAGAAUUUCUAUAACUCAACUUCAAACUCCCCAGAAAGAAGCAAUCAAGUGUCGGAUUUGAAAUCACAUAGCCGAUUCAGCAGUUCAACCUUUCUUCUUCAUAAUCUAUUUGGUUUCCAAGGUUAUUAGAAGUUGUAGAUGAGCUGCUUGUUUAUCAAUUUGGACUGCGCUGGUUGCUGAGUUUCAAAUUUCUGUAUCUCGCCUUUAUCCAGUCCUUUAAGCUGGUUCUCGCAUAACCAGGCAAGGGUUCAUGUUGGAAUGAGUUACACGUGAAGCUGGAAUUAGAGCUACUGUAAAUUGGUUGUAGCGUAGCUAUAGAUCGUGUUCAGUAUUAUAAUAUGAUAUGGUCACAAAACUAAGAAAAUCACUAACUUUGUAGUUUAAUUCAGAACUGAUAUCAAUUUCAUUUUCUCAUAGUUGUAUGUUUAGGUUGAAUAUGAUUUAGCUAAUCUCAAAUUGUGAUGGUCAGCUUUA
Nicotiana tabacum (common tobacco) is the source of this 803-nucleotide non-coding RNA. NCBI's taxonomy places the organism in Eukaryota, Viridiplantae, Streptophyta, Magnoliopsida, Solanales, Solanaceae. The record is from RefSeq and is a predicted model, not a curated record.